UGGCCUUUCACCGGGUUGCUGGUUUCU
RNAcentral lists this non-coding RNA (27 nucleotides) under Homo sapiens (human). Lineage: Eukaryota; Metazoa; Chordata; Mammalia; Primates; Hominidae. The record is from RNAcentral.